UACGGGAGGCAGCAGUGGGGAAUAUUGCACAAUGGGGGAAACCCUGAUGCAGCGACGCCGCGUGAGCGAUGAAGUAUUUCGGUAUGUAAAGCUCUAUCAGCAGGGAAGAAAAUGACGGUACCUGACUAAGAAGCACCGGCUAAAUACGUGCCAGCAGCCGCGGUAAUACGUAUGGUGCAAGCGUUAUCCGGAUUUACUGGGUGUAAAGGGAGCGUAGACGGAGUGGCAAGUCUGAUGUGAAAACCCGGGGCUCAACCCCGGGACUGCAUUGGAAACUGUCAAUCUNGAGUACCGGAGAGGUAAGCGGAAUUCCUAGUGUAGCGGUGAAAUGCGUAGAUAUUAGGAGGAACACCAGUGGCGAAGGCGGCUUACUGGACGGUAACUGACGUUGAGGCUCGAAAGCGUGGGGAGCAAACAGGAUUAGAUACCCUGGUAGUCCACGCCGUAAACGAUGACUACUAGGUGUCGGGCAGCAAAGCUGUUCGGUGCCGCAGCAAACGCAAUAAGUAGUCCACCUGGGGAGUACGUUCGCAAGAAUGAAACUCAAAGGAAUUGACGGA
This 560-nucleotide ribosomal RNA is filed under the name uncultured bacterium. RNAcentral describes it as "bacterial SSU rRNA". It matches the Rfam family "Bacterial small subunit ribosomal RNA", at positions 340 to 917 of the family's 1533-position model. The record is from RNAcentral.